UUUUUACGGAGAGUUUGAUCCUGGCUCAGGAUGAACGCUGGCGGCGUGCUUAACACAUGCAAGUCGAACGGUGAAGCCAAGCUUGCUUGGUGGAUCAGUGGCGAACGGGUGAGUAACACGUGAGCAACCUGCCCUGGACUCUGGGAUAAGCGCUGGAAACGGCGUCUAAUACUGGAUAUGAGACGUGAUCGCAUGGUCGUGUUU
This 204-nucleotide ribosomal RNA is filed under the name Microbacterium testaceum StLB037. Its description in RNAcentral is "partial 16S rRNA. Bacterial SSU". It matches the Rfam family "Bacterial small subunit ribosomal RNA", at positions 1 to 201 of the family's 1533-position model. The record is from RNAcentral. Lineage: Bacteria; Bacillati; Actinomycetota; Actinomycetes; Micrococcales; Microbacteriaceae.